Molecule: ribosomal RNA, 253 nt
Filed under: uncultured bacterium
Lineage: Bacteria
Description: partial 16S ribosomal RNA
Rfam family: Bacterial small subunit ribosomal RNA
Source: RNAcentral
GACGGAGGGUGCAAGCGUUGUUCGGAUUGCCUGGGCGGAAAGGGCGUGUAGGCGGUUGGUCAAGUCUGAUGUGAAAGCCCGGGGCUCAGCCCCGGAAGGGCAUCGGAAACUAGCCAGCUGGAGCGCGAUAGAGGAGGGUGGAAUUCCUGGUGUAGCGGUGAAAUGCGUAGAUAUCAGGAGGAACACCGGCGGCGAAGGCGGCCCUCUGGAUCGUUGCUGACGCUGAGACGCGAAAGCGUGGGGAGCAAACAGG